This 415-nucleotide ribosomal RNA is filed under the name uncultured bacterium. Its description in RNAcentral is "bacterial SSU rRNA". It matches the Rfam family "Bacterial small subunit ribosomal RNA", at positions 401 to 809 of the family's 1533-position model. The record is from RNAcentral.
UGUGUGAAGAAGGCCUUCGGGUUGUAAAGCACUUUUGUCCGGAAAGAAAACCUCGUGGUUAAUACCCGUGGGGGAUGACGGUACCGGAAGAAUAAGCACCGGCUAACUACGUGCCAGCAGCCGCGGUAAUACGUAGGGUGCAAGCGUUAAUCGGAAUUACUGGGCGUAAAGCGUGCGCAGGCGGUUCGCUAAGACAGAUGUGAAAUCCCCGGGCUUAACCUGGGAACUGCAUUUGUGACUGGCGGGCUAGAGUAUGGCAGAGGGGGGUAGAAUUCCACGUGUAGCAGUGAAAUGCGUAGAGAUGUGGAGGAAUACCGAUGGCGAAGGCAGCCCCCUGGGCCAAUACUGACGCUCAUGCACGAAAGCGUGGGGAGCAACCAGGAUUAGAUACCCUGGUAGUCCACGCCCUAAACGA